CAAUCUUCCAAAGCAUCCCGCCACCUGAGGACCAAGUAGUCAAACACAUGAGCCUGUGGGGGCAUUUCAUACUCAAACGACAACCCUAUAACCCCAGUAGUUGGGAGACUGAUGGAAAACAGUCACAAACUCAAGACCAGUCUAGACUACACAGUGAGAUUUUCUCUCAAACCACUGUCUUGGGAUUUUACUGCUAUGAACAGGCACCAUGACCGUGACAAGUCUUAUAAGGGACAAUGUUUAAUUGGGGCUGCCUUACAGGCUCAGAGGUUCAGUCCAUUAUCAUCAAGGCAGGAGCAAGGCAGCAUCCAGGCAGGCCUGGUGCAGGAGGAGCUGAGAGCUCUACAUCUUCAUCUGAGGCUGCUAGUGGAAGACUGACUUCCAGGCUGCUAGGGUGAGGGUCUUAAGGCCACGCCCACAGUGACACACCCACUCCAACAAGGCCACACCUCCUAAUAGUGCCAGUUCCUGGCCAAUAGUAUACAAACCAUAGCAACGACUAAACAAAGAUAAA
This 514-nucleotide long non-coding RNA is filed under the name Rattus norvegicus (Norway rat). RNAcentral's name for it is "long non-coding RNA NONRATT013688". Lineage: Eukaryota; Metazoa; Chordata; Mammalia; Rodentia; Muridae. The record is from RNAcentral.